CCUACGGGAGGCUGCAGUGGGGGAUAUUGCACAAUGGGGGAAACCCUGAUGCAGCGACGCCGCGUGGGUGAAGAAGCGCCUCGGCGCGUAAAGCCCUGUCAGCAGGGAAGAAAAUGACGGUACCUGAAGAAGAAGCCCCGGCUAACUACGUGCCAGCAGCCGCGGUAAUACGUAGGGGGCAAGCGUUAUCCGGAUUUACUGGGGGUAAAGGGGGCGCAGGCGGGGGUGCAAGCCAGAGGGGAAAGCCCGGGGCCCAACCCCGGGACUGGUCUUGGGACUGCGUGGCUAGAGUGCAGGAGGGGCAGGCGGAAUUCCUGGUGUAGCGGUGAAAUGCGUAGAUAUCAGGAGGAACACCGGUGGCGAAGGCGGCCUGCUGGACUGCAACUGACGUUGAGGCCCGAAAGCGUGGGGAGCAAACAGGAUUAGAUACCCCUGUAGUC
RNAcentral lists this ribosomal RNA (440 nucleotides) under uncultured bacterium. RNAcentral describes it as "partial 16S ribosomal RNA". It matches the Rfam family "Bacterial small subunit ribosomal RNA", at positions 338 to 795 of the family's 1533-position model. The record is from RNAcentral.